AUGUGCUUCUUCCGGUCUAUGCUCCCUCUCUUUGGUUCAUUGGCCUCCCAAAACUACUUUGUAAAUUGUGGAUGUCAAUGUCAGUUCUUCUGCUGCAAAGUUGGGGAAAGAAUUGUAGUGAAAAUCAAGUUUUGUCCGAGCACACAACAUCAGCGACGUGAUGAUGAAGCAAUGGCAUUGUCUGGCUAUUCAUACAAUUCUAUAGAAGAUGCAAUGGACGUUCCAGCUGCUCGAGUAAUGAAAUAUAUGGAGACCGUGCGUGCCAAGGUAUUGAAAGACUAUAGUUACAACAAGCUGCAACAAAGGAAAGAGAACUGUAUCUGA
Molecule: ribosomal RNA, 324 nt
Filed under: Triticum aestivum (bread wheat)
Lineage: Eukaryota; Viridiplantae; Streptophyta; Magnoliopsida; Poales; Poaceae
Description: partial small subunit ribosomal RNA
Source: RNAcentral